RNAcentral lists this unclassified non-coding RNA (710 nucleotides) under Bombus terrestris (buff-tailed bumblebee). RNAcentral's name for it is "misc RNA ENSBTSG00005035942.1". Lineage: Eukaryota; Metazoa; Arthropoda; Insecta; Hymenoptera; Apidae. The record is from RNAcentral.
ACGUCAGUGUUCCUUAAUGACCGAGUGGGACCAAACUUCCUCGUAAGGGGGAAAAUUUAUUCUUGAAGCAAUUUAGGACAGAUUUCUCGAGGAAGUGUGUACUUAAAUCAAUUUCUUGAGCACUGAAUAUGAAAUAUAGAGUGUCGAAUACAAGGUAUUUCAGACGAUGCACCCUCUUCAAAAAUCCUCGAGACACGAGUCGUGUACCAUUAGCCAAAUAGGAAUGUGCGUUUACCACUUAGCAGGAAAAAUAGUCCCUUUGGAAAGGCAAACGAGGGACUCAUUGGCCCCUUCGACAAGGCUCACCGAUGAGACAAAUGGAUACUGGUGCUCGGCUGCUGCGACCUUUUCCGCUAUGAGCGGAUAUAAAUAUCUUCCUUCCUAGGAUAGUAGGAAAUUCUCGUUUUUCACGUAUACGGCGAUGAUAUUUCCAGUUAUCAACGUCGUACACGGUAACCGUAAUAAUCGUAUCCUUUGACGAAAAAAAUAUGGCACGGCGCGCGAAAACGCAACAGGCAGCUCGUCUUCAUCUAUUGAAUAACUAGACGAUCGAUUGCAACGAGGCAUAACACACGGCUUCACGCUUUCUGAAGCCGGUCUACGAGGUGAAAAUCGCGAGGAAGAACGAGGUCUUUCGCUUCCUUUCGGAUACCACUAGUUCGCCAAAUUGUAACGUGGUCACGGUGAAACUUUCGCGAAACAAUCAUGUA